Myotis davidii is the source of this 2097-nucleotide long non-coding RNA. RefSeq lists it as uncharacterized. Lineage: Eukaryota; Metazoa; Chordata; Mammalia; Chiroptera; Vespertilionidae. The transcript has 3 exons. The record is from RefSeq and is a predicted model, not a curated record.
GGUCCUUCCCACCCCGAGAUGCACUCAUGUAUGUCCGUCCCAACACACACACACGCACGCACACACACGCACACACACACACACAGGUGAGUGUGGGGUCCUUCCCACCCCGAGAUGCACUCAUGUAUGCCCGUCCCAACACACACACACGCGCGCACACAUACAUGCACACUUCCCCACCCCCCCUCAGAUGCACAGGCAGGUCAGGGCUGCUCUCACCAACCCGAGAAGGAGCCAGUUCAGCCCCUGGCAGCCAUCACUCACUACCCACAUCUUCGGCUUAUGUGUUGCCGUCCCCGGGCUUCUGCUUGGCAUGCACAGUCUCUUAGGCAGUGCUAAUGCUUCGGGCCUUGAAGCCUUCCUUAGCUUUCCUGGAGUGAGCAGGGCAGAGGCACGGAAGGAGAAGCUAGGGGUGUGCGGGCCGGGGACCCUGACAGGGCUAAGCCGAGGCACUCAGCAGACUGCUCGAUGCAAUUGACGGGAGCAGACAGUUUAUCAGGCCCUCCGUCGCUCAUGCUGCUACGUGGAGAUGAGUCAGGUGCGGCCUCUGGGUCCAAGUCUGGGGAGGGAGGGCGGCCCUGCAGGACAUAAGCCAACACGUGGCAUCACAGAGAUUAGCACAGGCACAGGUCAGAGUGUCACAGCAAUCAGCUCACUCAGGGAUCUUCAAGGGAAAUAUCACCCCCGGUUAGGGAGGCCCGGAGGCGGAGCUCGUCAGAGGGCAGGGGGGGAGGCACCAGGUGCGGUGAGGGGUCAGCCUGGGCCAAGGCCAGGUGUGAAAAUGGGUGACAUUCUGAUGAUGGGGUUACUCCUGCUGCCACAACAAAUACCACAGGCUGGGCCUUAAACAACAGCCGGCAGUCCAAGGUCAAGGUGUCAGCAGGGUGGGUUUCCGCGAGGCCUCUCUCCGUGGCUGGUUAUGGCCGCCUCCCCCCUGUGUCUUCACAGGCCUUCCUCUGUGUAAGUCUGUGCCCAGUCUCCAACCUCCUCUUCUUUAUAAAGAUGCUGGUCAUGUUGGAUGAGGGCCCACCCAUGUGACCUCAUGUUAACGUACUUACCUCUUGAAGACCCUACUCCAGAUAUAGUCACAGUCUGAUGUAUUGGGAAACUCCCGUCUGGACGGACCUGAUUGGAUAAGACCUCACUAAGCAUGCACCUCUCGGCCGCCUGCAGGAAAAGGAGCCCUUUCUGCCGCUCGUGUGUCCUUGAUCGUUACGUAAAUGGAAUCAUGCAACAAGCGUUCCGUGGUGUCUGGCGUCUUAAGCCUGAGGUCCUCCCUGCGGGUUCUGCAGGAAGGCGGGAAGCCCUCCCCCUUCCGAGAGAGGCUCUUCCACACGUGCCCUGAGCUUGCUUCUCCCCAACACAGUCCUCGGCCCGUCAAGGUGCCCGUCCUUGAGUCGGGGUGGGCUGGUGACUGCUUUGACGACGACAGGGCAGCUGAGGAGUGACGCUGUGGGGCGUCCCAGGCUGAGAUACGAAAGGUGGGGCAGCUUCGGCCCUGUUUGCUGGGACACUCGUGCUUGGAGCCCUGGGCACAAAGCGAGAGGUCUCACCCGCCCGAGGCUGCCGUGUUGUGAUGUGAGGAAGCCACGCUGCGUGGGGAGGCCACACGAGGGGCUCCCUCCUUGGUCUGACUCUGAGCCUUCGCAGCCCCGGCGCCCGGCAUGUGUAUGAACCGGCCCCAGGAGACCCCAGCGCCCCACCUCCCCCGCUGGUAGGUCAUCCUGGCCUGCAGGUCUUCCCAGGUGGGGCCCCCGGCAUCAUGGAACGGGGAUAAGUCAUCCCUGGUCAUCCCUUUACCAAGUACCUGCUCCACACAAUGCAGACAUGAGAAAAUGGCUGUUUUAAGUUGCUGAGUUUGGGGUAAUUUGUCAGCCCUGUAAUCACUGGUACACAGGGUGCAAGGGGCUGGACUCAGGAGGGCCAAGGUUAGCCUUCUCACUGGAGGAGACGUGGCGAGAACAUCUGCUUUUGGGGGCCCACUGGCUGCUUCACAGCCCUGCCUACACCUCACCCUCUGCUUUUUGUUUCUCACCAGCUCUUUUUGGUUUUAGGCCAGUAGUUAAUUAAUUCUCUGCCUCCCCCCUGCAAAAGCAA